AAGUGCCAGCUUCUGGAGUUCUGAUUGGUUGCAGUGGCUGUCCGCCAAAUGACGUCAAGCCGCCGGAGGGUAGUGGGGAAGCAAGAAUAAACCAAAUGUGCCAAGUCCAGUAGUAAAGAAAACAUGUCAGAAGAAGCAUCCAUAUCUCUUUAAGAGGGACACUGAAAAUAAAAGAAAAAAAGGCUAUUCUGGGGGAAGACAGGAACCUGUUCACCGAAACAGCUAAGGAACAAAGUCGAAAAGCAUUAGAGACUGAAGAGGAAAUAAAAAUGCCUGAUGAAUGGCGUGCCUCUAAUGAUUACUGCUUGUUGUGUUUUAUGCAGUCUAAGACAGAGAAGCCAAUUUUGCUACUGCUUUGAACAGCUGCAAGGGCAGUCUCUGAGAUGAUGCAGUUCCUAAGGGUCACUAUGUAGUCCUUCUUAAGACAAAGCUAAAUAUUGGCCUAGCAUCUAAUUUUGUGUAAUAUUUUCCCGAACAAGUCUUGGUUUUAUUUUAAGGACUGC
This is a long non-coding RNA of Corvus hawaiiensis (hawaiian crow), 503 nucleotides long. RefSeq lists it as uncharacterized. Lineage: Eukaryota; Metazoa; Chordata; Aves; Passeriformes; Corvidae. The transcript has 3 exons. The record is from RefSeq and is a predicted model, not a curated record.